Non-coding RNA from Lonchura striata (white-rumped munia), 2127 nucleotides. Lineage: Eukaryota; Metazoa; Chordata; Aves; Passeriformes; Estrildidae. The record is from RefSeq and is a predicted model, not a curated record.
UUUAUAAUUCCUCUUUAGAUAUGGUUGUGAUUUUUGUUUGAACUGAACCUUACUUGUGUUCUUUCGUGAAUCCUAUUGCUUCUGCCUUAGAUCUGGAGGAUUUCAGAAGGGACAGUGAGAAUGUGUUCCUCUACCUCAAUGGCAAACAAAGGAAAACCAACCUGGAAACGGUGCAAGAGAAAGGUACAGCUACAGGACUGAGGAAGCAUUGCUUCUCUUCUGUGCACAUCUGAGCUUGUUAACUCCAUCCUCCUGCUCCUCUUAGCAAACUGGCACUGAAGAUUCAUCUUUCUUGGAUUCUCUCUAGAGACAGAAGUUAUCAGAAUAAUCUCAAGUGUUCUAACACUCAAUGUAACACUGAAGGCAAAGGAAAGAGAAUACUUCAAGUGAGGAUCCACAGAAUAUACCAAGGAUUCUGUAAUACUGGCAUGAUGUGGUUUUGAAAGAUGUCAUCCCAGUGAGCAGAGCUGUCACUGAGAACUCUCACUUGAGAUGAAACUGGGGGAAAAAACUGAUAUCAACCAGGAACUGUGGAUGGUCUGGGGUGUGGAAUUGGCACAAACUCUCUGCUUUGCUUUUUAUGGCUGGUUAAUAUCGUCACUUUGCAUCCACCAUGGCUCCUGACAAAAUUAACAAUGACAGAGUGAAAGUGCUAACACAAGCCCUGGGGAUUUUAUCUCUGCAGUUUAACAAAGCUGUAAUGGGUUGACCUUGACUGGAUGCCAGGUGCUCACCAAGCUGCUCUAUCACUCUCCAGUAGGGCAGGGGAGAGAAAAAUAAGAUGGAAAACAACUAUUAGGUUGAGAUAAGGCAGUUUAGGGUCUGUGAGUGCAUAAGCAAAGGGAAACAAAAAUUGACCUCUACUUCCCAUUGGUGAUUCCCAAUGCUCAGCCACUUUCCAGGAAGCAGGGCUUCAACACGUGGAUUAGUUGCUCUAGAAGGCAGACAUGAUUAAAUAGCAAAUGCCCCCCAUUCCUCCUCCCUGCCUUAGCUUUUAUAUCUGAGGUGAUUUCAUAUGGUAUGGAAUAUCCCUUUGGAUAUUUUGCAUCAGCAGGCCUGCUUGUAUUCCCUCCAAGAAUCUUGCCCACUCCCAAACCCUUCACAGGGGAGCAGGAAAGGAAUGUUAGAGAGACAGCACAGCUGCUGUGCCAGCACUGCUCAGCAGUAGCCAAAACACUCAUGUGCUACCAACACCCCUCCAGCUACCAAUGCAAAGCAUAGCACUGAGAGGGUUGUUAAAAGAAAUGAACUAUACCUCAGUCAGACCAAAUACAGUCUCCAUCCCUUAUUUCAUAUCAUUUGAGUCAUGCUGAAAUCCCACAUAAUUUAUAUAUCUUCCAAGUAUUCCAUUCUAUUUUUUUGUCAUUACUGGAAUCCAUUCUUACCCAUACACACAAUUUUAAAUACGUCCCUAAACCAUCUCCUUACCUGACACAGAUUUUCAUUAACCUUUAUCCUGCAUCCUUUCACACAUAAAUAUUAUUGUGCCAUUUCAUGGGCUUCCUUCACCCCUCCAGAUCCAGGACUUGGAGUACAAUGGGCUUCUGAUCCUUGAUAACUCCAGCUUCUUGGAGUGACCUCGGGUUUCCCCUGAGGGGCUCUGUGUCUUAGCUUACAAUGUAAAAUGUAACCAAAAGCAUGUAUUCUAUCACCAUCUGUUAAAACCAGGUGGGGCAGUGUUCUUUAUCUCUUCCAUGACCCAUCCCUCAUAACUGCCUCUGAGGGAGAUACCUGCUGUUAAUGGGCCAUCAAAUCUCAUUGUAUGACUCGUAAAUUUCUUCAUCCCAUUGUGAGAUGAUCCACCCAGGGGAGGAGCUAAGCAUUCCUACCUGGAUAUCUCCUGAGGUUUGGAACACCAAAAGCAGCCUUAUCCACGGGAUUCCCAGAGGAAGACCAGGCCCAUCUGUACCAUCGCUGGACCUUCAGAGGCAGAUCACACCCUUCUACAGGAUCUCUGCUUCAACAGAACCACAUUGGUCAUCCCAAGACGAUUGCAGACACCGUUGAACUGGACUGCUACCAACCCUGAUCAACAGCGUUCUCAGGUUGUAUUUUGACUGUGUCAGUGUUUUGUACUAUUGCAUUUACUUUAAUUUUCCUAUUAAAUUGUAGUUCUGACUUGGGAUC